Molecule: long non-coding RNA, 324 nt
Filed under: Androctonus crassicauda
Lineage: Eukaryota; Metazoa; Arthropoda; Arachnida; Scorpiones; Buthidae
Source: RNAcentral
UAUUGGCUAGAAAUACUUUUCUGUUUUAUUGGAAAUUUACAGUUGGCCAAUGGCUGCAUGGCAAAGCAAUUGCUUACCACCUUGAAAAUUCUGCAUUCAAUCCUGACAAUUUUAUCAUCUGAAAGAUUGAGUUCAAACCCAGACAGUUUUAUCUCCUUAAAGGUUCUGGUCUCCCAUUGUCAAAUAUUACUACUGUGGAUCUCAGAAAGCUCCUAUCUCCAUUUUUGUUUUUGUAUUUUAUGCUUAUCAUAUAUAUAUCAUAUUUAUGUCAUGUCUAUGUUAUAUUUUUAAUAAUUUUUAUCAUAAUAUGUAUGUUUUCUUUGU